This 481-nucleotide ribosomal RNA is filed under the name uncultured bacterium. Its description in RNAcentral is "partial 16S ribosomal RNA". It matches the Rfam family "Bacterial small subunit ribosomal RNA", at positions 28 to 507 of the family's 1533-position model. The record is from RNAcentral.
GAUGAACGCUGGCGGCGUGCUUAACACAUGCAAGUCGAACGAAGCAUUUGCGACAGAUUUUUUCGGAAUGAAGUUGCUUAUGACUGAGUGGCGGACGGGUGAGUAACGCGUGGGUAACCUGCCUUGUACUGGGGGAUAGCAGCUGGAAACGGCUGGUAAUACCGCAUAAGCGCACAAUGUUGCAUGACAUGGUGUGAAAAACUCCGGUGGUAUAAGAUGGACCCGCGUCUGAUUAGCUAGUUGGUGAGAUAACAGCCCACCAAGGCGACGAUCAGUAGCCGACCUGGGAGGGUGACCGGCCACAGUGGGACUGAGACACGGCCCAGACUCCUACGGGAGGCAGCAGUGGGGAAUAUUGCACAAUGGAGGAAACUCUGAUGCAGCGACGCCGCGUGAGUGAAGAAGUAAUUCGUUAUGUAAAGCUCUAUCAGCAGGGAAGAUAGUGACGGUACCUGACUAAGAAGCUCCGGCUAAAUACGUG